RNAcentral lists this ribosomal RNA (631 nucleotides) under uncultured bacterium. RNAcentral's name for it is "bacterial SSU rRNA". The stretch from base 1 to 536 matches the Rfam family "Bacterial small subunit ribosomal RNA", at positions 338 to 873 of the family's 1533-position model. The record is from RNAcentral.
CCUACGGGAGGCAGCAGUGGGGAAGUAUUGGACAAUGGGCGAAAGCCUGAUCCAGCAAUUCCGCGUGUGUGAAGAAGGCCUUCGGGUUGUAAAGCACUUUAGUGGGGGAAGAAACAGCUUGGCCACACCAAGCCUUGACGGUACCCCAAGAAUAAGCACCGGCUAACUCUGUGCCAGCAGCCGCGGUAAUACAGAGGGUGCAAGCGUUAAUCGGAUUUACUGGGCGUAAAGGGUGCGUAGGUGGCUAUUUAAGUCGGAUGUGAAAGCCCGGGGCUCAACCUCGGAAUUGCAUUCGAUACUGAGUGGCUAGAGUUCGGUAGAGGGCGGCGGAAUUUCCGGUGUAGCGGUGAAAUGCGUAGAUAUCGGAAGGAACAUCAAUGGCGAAGGCAGCCGCCUGGGCCUGGACUGACACUGAGGCACGAAAGCGUGGGUAGCAAACAGGAUUAGAUACCCUGGUAGUCCACGCCGUAAACGAUGAGACUGACGUUGUUCGUUUACGAUCGGUGUCGCGNGCUACGACGAUAAGUUCGUCCGUCCGUCGGGUAGGUACGGCCGGCCGAGGUUAGGUAACGUACGUAAAGGUAAGUUAGUUACGGCGUGAGACGUGCGACGGCGACGACGAGGGAGGAGG